AGCGGCGAACGGGUGAGUAACACGUAGGUGAUCUGCCCAUCAGACGGGGACAACGAUUGGAAACGAUCGCUAAUACCGGAUAGGACGAAAGUUUAAAGGUGCUUCUGGCACCGCUGAUGGAUGAGCCUGCGGCGCAUUAGCUAGUUGGUAGGGUAAAGGCCUACCAAGGCGACGAUGCGUAGCCGACCUGAGAGGGUGAACGGCCACACUGGGACUGAGACACGGCCCAGACUCCUACGGGAGGCAGCAGUAGGGAAUCUUCGGCAAUGGGCGAAAGCCUGACCGAGCAACGCCGCGUGAAUGAUGAAGGCCUUCGGGUUGUAAAAUUCUGUUAUAAGGGAAGAACGACUUUAGUAGGAAAUGGCUAGAGUGUGACGGUACCUUAUGAGAAAGCCACGGCUAACUACGUGCCAGCAGCCGCGGUAAUACGUAGGUGGCGAGCGUUAUCCGGAAUUAUUGGGCGUAAAGAGCGCGCAGGUGGUUGAUUAAGUCUGAUGUGAAAGCCCACGGCUUAACCGUGGAGGGUCAUUGGAAACUGGUCGACUUGAGUGCAGAAGAGGGAAGCGGAAUUCCAUGUGUAGCGGUGAAAUGCGUAGAGAUAUGGAGGAACACCAGUGGCGAAGGCGGCUUCCUGGUCUGUAACUGACACUGAGGCGCGAAAGCGUGGGGAGCAAACAGGAUUAGAUACCCUGGUAGUCCACGCCGUAAACGAUGAGUGCUAAGUGU
RNAcentral lists this ribosomal RNA (726 nucleotides) under uncultured bacterium. RNAcentral's name for it is "bacterial SSU rRNA". It matches the Rfam family "Bacterial small subunit ribosomal RNA", at positions 94 to 823 of the family's 1533-position model. The record is from RNAcentral.